This 365-nucleotide ribosomal RNA is filed under the name uncultured eukaryote. RNAcentral's name for it is "LSU rRNA". It matches the Rfam family "Bacterial large subunit ribosomal RNA", at positions 2121 to 2485 of the family's 2925-position model. The record is from RNAcentral.
CUCCGGGCUUUGUUUGCGCAGGAUAGGUGGGAGGCGUUGAAGAUUUUCUUGCGGGGAGAUUGGAGCCGUUGGUGAGAUACCACUCUAACAAUGCUAGGAUUCUAACCCUAUACCGUUAUCCGGUUAGGGGACAGUUUCAGGUGGUCAGUUUGACUGGGGCGGUCGCCUCCCAAAAGGUAACGGAGGCGUGCAAAGGUUUCCUCAGGCUGGUUGGAAAUCAGUCGUAGAGUGUAAAGGCAUAAGGAAGCUUGAUUGUGAGACCUACAAGUCGAACAAAGACGAAAGUCGGCCUUAGUGAUCCGACGGUUCCGAGUGGAAGGGCCGUCGCUCAACGGAUAAAAGUUACUCUAGGGAUAACAGGCUGA